AGAGUUUGAUCAUGGCUCAGGAUGAACGCUAGCGACAGGCCUAACACAUGCAAGUCGAGGGAAAGGGUAGCAAUACCUGAAACCGGCGCACGGGUGAGUAACGCGUAUGUAACCUGCCUACAACAGGGGGAUAGCUUUCGGAAACGGAAAUUAAUACCGCAUAAGACCACGCUCUCGCAUGGGAGUGUAGUAAAAUUUACGGAGGUUGUAGAUGGGCAUGCGUGACAUUAGCUAGUUGGUAAGGUAACGGCUUACCAAGGCAACGAUGUCUAGGGGUUCUGAGAGGAAGGUCCCCCACACUGGUACUGAGACACGGACCAGACUCCUACGGGAGGCAGCAGUGAGGAAUAUUGGUCAAUGGACGCAAGUCUGAACCAGCCAUGUCGCGUGCAGGAUGACGGCCCUAUGGGUUGUAAACUGCUUUUGUACGGGAAGAAAAAAGAUUACGUGUAAUCUAUUGCCGGUACCGUACGAAUAAGGAUCGGCUAACUCCGUGCCAGCAGCCGCGGUAAUACGGAGGAUCCGAGCGUUAUCCGGAUUUAUUGGGUUUAAAGGGUGCGUAGGCGGGUUAUUAAGUCAGUGGUGAAAGUUUGACGCUCAACGUUAAAAUUGCCAUUGAUACUGAUAGUCUUGAGUACAGUUGAGGUAGGCGGAAUGUGGUGUGUAGCGGUGAAAUGCAUAGAUAUACCCACAGAACACC
Molecule: ribosomal RNA, 700 nt
Filed under: uncultured bacterium
Lineage: Bacteria
Description: bacterial SSU rRNA
Rfam family: Bacterial small subunit ribosomal RNA
Source: RNAcentral